Pezoporus occidentalis (night parrot) is the source of this 2774-nucleotide long non-coding RNA. RefSeq lists it as uncharacterized. The transcript has 3 exons. NCBI's taxonomy places the organism in Eukaryota, Metazoa, Chordata, Aves, Psittaciformes, Psittacidae. The record is from RefSeq and is a predicted model, not a curated record.
GUGACCUGGACCCUUGGCUGGCCCUGGCUACCACCUUUGCACCCACCUUACUCACUUGCUUGGAUGCUGUGGGACAGGGCUGGCCAGUGAGUUCUCUGCCCUAUUGGCUGGCUUACAGUUCAUGCUUCCAGCUCCCCAUCCCUUAAGAAACAUCCAACCCUCAUUGCGCUUAUGGUUAGUUACAGAGGAAAUUGAGUGGCAGACAUGUGACAGACUUCCGAAUGUCUUACGUGGCUCUGGGUAAAAUGAUGUGCAACUCUGUAAGUACAGGUGGUCAGGCAGUACCUAUGUCACCUCUGGGGCAAGUGCUGUCAGAAAAGAGAGUAGGAACAGCCAAUAUUAAGCAAAUUGAUCAUCUUUAAUGCUUCCAUCAAGAUGCAGGUAUUGAUGCUGGAAAUUAAUAAUCCUGCUGCCCCCAUUAAAAUAUACAAAUGGCUUCACUCUGAUUUUAUCGAGCUGGGAGGCAUUGGGGGUUUGUGGAGACUCACUGGUAAGGCUUAGAAGAGUUCCAGCAGGAAGUUCAAUGCAUCAUCUCAAAUGACAGCUGCAUUGCAAAUGUCAUGUGAAUUCCUCUGAUAGAUCACCAUGACAAGAAAAAGAGCAGCCUUCUUGUGAGGGGCUGUGCUUUCUGCUGUGUGCACAAAUGUUCUACCAACCACCUCGGCUUGUGAAGGCAGAUGUCAUGCAGUCUGCAAACAUCUUGUGGUGCCCUGGAGCCAUCUGCCUCCUCUGCCCAGCAGAACUGCAACAGGUCUGUGUGGAGGGAGGUUUCCAAGCACCCAGGAUCCUCUGCUUGAGCAGGAUGCCAGCCAGGUCUUUCCCCUGCAAAGCUCCAGCUGCAUCUCAGAGAUAGAUGGAAGGGUGUGAAUAAGGUUACACGGGUGGUGUCCUUUCAGCAUAUCCCUCCCGUAAGACCCUCAGUCAUGUUAGAAACAUCCUGAGCCCCUGCAGGUCUGAGGUGGCCCAAGCCUCUGACUUCCCUGAGAUUUGCUGUGGAUUGGCCUGGGUUUCACUGCUCUCUUCUCCUCUCACCCUUCCUGCAGCCCUGAUGUGGAGUUCUGUGGCUACUGCAUCACGCACCCCUCUGAAAGCAAGAUCAACUUCAGGAUCCAGACCAGAGGGGCCCUUCCUGCUGUUGAGCCAUUCCAGAAAGGGCUGAACGACACAUUUGCUAACAUGUGCUCAACACCUUUGAGAGGAGCAUGAAGGAGUACAGGGCCCAGAGGGAGGAAGAGAUACAGUAGCAUUUAGGGAUGGCAGUCUCCAUGGAUGUGUGUAACAUCUGUGUGUUGAAUUCCCUGUGCCAAGUAUUUCUGGUUGUGUGUUUGUCCUGAGUUCAGCAGUAGCAGUCAUUUUUAAUCCUUCUUAGUAGCUGGUGCAGUGCUAUGGUUUUUAACUUUCAGCCUGGAAACAAUGCUGAUAACACCAGUGUUUUUAGUUGCUGCUCAGUAGUGUCUACUCUGACCAAGGACUUUCUGAGUCUCAUGCUCUGCCAGGGAGGAGGGGAAGCCGGGAGGAAGCAGAGACAGGACACUUGACCCAAACUAGCCAAAGAGGUAUUCCAUACUACAACAUGUCAUGCCCACUAUAUAAACUGGGGGAGUUACCCAGAAGGGUUGGAUCACUGCUCAGUCAGGCUGAGUAUCAGUCAGCAGGUAGUGAGUGGUUGUGUUCUCUUCCCUUGUUUAUUUCCCUUAUCAUUAUUAUUAUUGGUGGUAGCAGUAGUGGGUUUGUGUUAUACCUUAGUUACUGGACUGUUCUUCUUUCAACCCGUGGGAGUUACAUUCUUUCCAUUCUCCUCCCCAUCCCUCCUGGGAGGGGGGGGGAAAGAGGGGGAGUGAGAGAGAGACUGCAUGGCUGACUGAGUUUAAACCACGACAGUGUUUUAUGACUGCUUUGAUGCAAACCUGUAUUUUCUCUAAUAAUAAAGAUUAUGGAGGCUGAUGUUGCAGAGGUGACACUGUGUUCAGCUCAGCAGGGUAUGAAAUAUGAUAGAAGGCAGUUCUUCCACUCUUCUGUCUUAUUUCUGUCUCUUUCCAAGCGUCGUUGCUUUUGUCUGCCCAGGAUUUUGAGAUCACACAGUUUUCAGGUAGCCUUGUGCACAGAGCUAGUCUGCCCCACGUCCACAGGGAGCAGAGGAGCUCAGCACUGUGCAAAGUCCAGCUUUUAGAGAGGCAGCACCCUCUCCCAGUUUCAAUCUUUCUGUUGCAGGCACCACUGCAGUUGACUUCAACAGAUAAAACCGGCUUUCCUUUUUAAACAGAGCGUUAUUCGCUUGCAGCCCAGAACCCCUCUGUGCUGGGCUGCAUCCCCAGAGUGUGAGCAGCAGUUGAGGGAGGGGAUUCUCCCCCUCUGCUGUGCUCUGGGGAGACCCCUCUGCAGUCCUGAUCCAGCUCUGGAGCAACACCACAAGAGGGACGUGGAGCUGCUGGAGUGAGUCCAGAGGAGGCCACGGAGAUGCUGGGAGGGUUCUGGGGACAGGCUGAGAAACCUGGAGAGGGGCUUUUUACAAGGCAAUGUACGGACAGGACAAGGGGGAAUGGCUUUAACCUGUCUGAGGGGAGAUUGCUACUUAAUGGGAAACACCCAGGAGAAAGAAAGUCUCCUUUCAAACACCACCACAUUUUAUUAACAUACAGAGGAAUAAUAGGGAGUGUAAGAGAAACAAUGUUGUUUUCGCAUAACUGGGGAUGGGGCUUUGCAAGAUUUAGGCUUUCCAAUAUUAAGAUUUUUCAAUACUGGGGCUGCGGCUGUUACUCAGGGAACAAAACAGA